CCUACGGGGGGCAGCAGUGGGGAAUUUUGGACAAUGGGCGCAAGCCUGAUCCAGCCAUGCCGCGUGUCUGAAGAAGGCCUUCGGGUUGUAAAGGACUUUUGUUAGGGAAGAAAAGGGAAGUGCUAAUACCACUUUUUGCUGACGGUACCUAAAGAAUAAGCACCGGCUAACUACGUGCCAGCAGCCGCGGUAAUACGUAGGGUGCGAGCGUUAAUCGGAAUUACUGGGCGUAAAGCGAGCGCAGACGGUUACUUAAGCAGGAUGUGAAAUCCCCGGGCUCAACUUGGGAACUGCGUUUUGAACUGGGUAGCUAGAGUAUGUCAGAGGGGGGUAGAAUUCCACGUGUAGCAGUGAAAUGCGUAGAGAUGUGGAGGAAUACCGAUGGCGAAGGCAGCCCCCUGGGAUAAUACUGACGUUCAUGCUCGAAAGCGUGGGUAGCAAACAGGAUUAGAUACCCUAGUAGUC
This 465-nucleotide ribosomal RNA is filed under the name uncultured Neisseriaceae bacterium. RNAcentral's name for it is "bacterial SSU rRNA". It matches the Rfam family "Bacterial small subunit ribosomal RNA", at positions 338 to 795 of the family's 1533-position model. The record is from RNAcentral. Lineage: Bacteria; Pseudomonadati; Pseudomonadota; Betaproteobacteria; Neisseriales; Neisseriaceae.